Molecule: RNA transcript, 3092 nt
Organism: Agrilus planipennis (emerald ash borer)
Lineage: Eukaryota; Metazoa; Arthropoda; Insecta; Coleoptera; Buprestidae
Gene name: growth hormone-inducible transmembrane protein-like
Exons: 3
Source: RefSeq, a predicted model, not a curated record
GCCGUUUUCUUGUGAUAUAUUCAUCAUGGUAAGUCAUAUCAAAAUUAUACAGUAAUGUGUCACACCAUACAUACAUUACAGACUCAUACAUACGCUGCGUUUCUGGAGCAGUUUUACGAGUUUAAAACCAAUCAUUCUGUUUUAAUCCCAUAAUGUCCAAAUCCACUGUAAAAUUUUAAGACCAUUAACACCAAUACAACAUGAACAGGUUAAUUUUAAAACUAAACACGCGUUAUGGUUUGAAAUUGACAACUGCCAAAAGGUUUAAUAAUCUCACAAUUAGUAGGUUAAUUUGCAUAAAAAAUAAUUUGUCUGAACAUAACUGCGACAGAGAAGAAAAAGAGACCACCGCAAUAAAAUCAACAAACGGUUUCAAACAUUUAUUAGCUGGGAGUGCAUUUCUUGGGUUGUGCACAUUUUGCUGUCAGGGUUUUAUAAGGAGUAAAAGUGAUAAAGAAGUUUGGCCUAAUAAAGUGAAAGAUUACUUAACUUUAAUCACGUUGUACGACCAAAUAUCCUUGGCUGUGGCAGUGGUAUCUGGUUUGAUAUCAGUACGACAUCCUCCACUUUUAAGGUGUACGUACAACCAUGUCUACUUAACUUCAGCUAUUGGAAUUGGUUUAAUUGGUGGUACAGGUCUUCUAAUCCGCCAAAUGCCUUACGAAAAGGAUUUUAGUUCGAAGCACGCAGCUUGGUUAAUCCAUGAGGUUCUUUUAGGAGGAUUUGGAGGAAAUAUGCUGUUCACUGCAGGCCCACUCCUACUCAGGUUGGUGCUAUAUUUUGCAGGAGCAGUGACGGCAUUAAAUCUUGUUGUUUUGUCAUCAUCCAAUGAAGAAUUUCUUAAAGUUCGGGGACCAAUUUCCGAAUUCUUGGGAGUUGUUAUUUGUGCUUGCUACAGCCACUGGUUUUUGCCUGCAACAAAUGUGUAUUAUUCAAAAAUGCAAUCUCCCCUGUUGUCGAUUUCUUUGUACGGUUGUUUAAUAUACGGUUGUGUUUUGUUGUGGUUCGAUGUGGUAAAAAGGAUUUUUAUCUCCGAAUGUUAUUCGCAAUCGAAAACAUCUGAUAGGAAACCUCUGGAUCCUAUCAACAUAACUAUUGCGACAAAAACGUUUGCGUUUAUGGGAAGUUUGGUUGCGGAUAAUGAUUGUGGUCGUACUUUAUAAAUUGACUGAACACUCGUAUUCUAAUAAUAUAUUUGUGCCAAGCGUAACCGAAAUAGUACAAUAGUGCAAUAAAAUAUUUAUCAAAACUGCGGAAUAAUUAUUUAUUCAUAUAUAACAGUAUAUAUAUAUAUAUACGUAGUAGUCCAUUUUAGAAGAAUGUUGUAUAAAGUACAAGUAAAAUCAUAUAUUUAGUUCUCACGCAUAUGCUUCGGUGAUCUUGGCAUUUAAGUUGCUGACGGAGAAAGUAACCACAACUUCAUUUACUGCAUUGCACUGGAAUUGCUCUUGUUAAGUAAUGGUGAUUACUAUGCAAACAAAGCACACAUUUGAAUUGAGAAUCAAAUUACCGAUCGAUUGUUGUGUAUGUGGAAAACAAAGAGUGGUUUGAUGGCAAAGAAUUUGAGGUCAUAAAGUGGCCAGCUUGUUCGCCAGACCUCAACCCUAUCGAAAAUCUCUGGAAAUUAAUGAAAGAUAUCCUUGAGAAAGAGCCUGAACGCUCGAUUGACAAUUGGAUGUCCAAAAUCGAGACCAUUUGGAACGAUUUGGUCCCUAAAUAUUAGGAGUCUUUAAUCGGGAGUAUGAAUUCCCGAUUGGAUUCGUGUAUUGCUGCCAACGGUGAUAAAACUAAAUAUUGAUCUAAUUGUAAUCCUAAUGUAUAUUUAUCAGUCGAUUAUGUGCAAUGAGAAAAAUUUUUUCUAAAUUCAAAGAUUGUUAAAAACCAAUUGAAACAAUUAUCAGUAAAUAUGCUCUCAAGUUUAGACAAAGUUUUCAAGACGAUUUUUAUUUUUAAAUGUAAAAAUGUUUUCUAAUACCAUCAUACUUAUCUAUUUUAAUCUAGACUAGCCUUUUGUCAAAAUUUAUUGUAUGUAAAUACAUAUAAUAAUUCUUCUUCCUGAUAACACAAAUCGGGACAAUACCCUACCGGAAAUGUUAGAUUUUAUAAUACAGCUGUGCCCUUGUUGGCAGCUGCUACCCCUUUAAUUUUUCUGUGACAACAUUAUACAUAAGUAUUUCUGUCAACUUAAAAUGGUAAAAUGUAUCAUAAGUAGACAUGUCGCGUUAAAUAUUUUUCUAAAACGUGCAUUUAAAAUUUCCUUUUUAAUUUGUUUUCCAUUAUGAAUAAAUAAAUGAAAAAUAUAUGGGCAAAAACCUAAGCUUUUAAAACCUAUUGCUCGAUUUAACCAUUAUAAUGAGCAAUUUUUUACAGUAAAUUAUCAGGUGUCAGGGAUUAAAAUUUACUCAAAACAUACUGAAAAUUGCCGAACCAUAAUCGUUAUUAUUGUUUGUUACUAGGAGCAUGAUAUGCAAAAUUUUAAUUAAAAGGGCUUGAAGCCUUGAAAUCUCACACCACACUGAUGAUAGAUUACGGUUUGAAUAGAAUUUAAAAGUACAUGUAAAAGAUGACGCUAGCUUUCCAUUUAAUUAAUGCAAGGCGUGAUAACACACAAACUACAAAUCAGUAAUUUUUAAGCAUUGCUUUCUUAGUAACAACCUUUGAGGAAUAUUUUGUAAUAAUUAUGUAGAUUGAAUAUAAUACGAGUCACGCAAAUACACACCCUAUCUAUUAUGUUUUAAAGAAUCAAGUUCGAAAAACGAAUGGAAACAAAUACCUUACAUGUUAUAACUACAUAAUGUGCAAUUUAUAUUCAUUCUUACAGAAGCAAAUUCUAACUGCGAAACACCUUAGAGUGACCAGGCAAAGAUUAUAAAAGCAUCAUUAUUAGAUUCAUUUGUAUAUUGAUUUUUAAGCAUUAUUAUAAUCAGAAAAAAUGAUGAUUAUUUUCACAUUUUACUUCUUCAUUAUUAUUUUUAUUUCUUUUAAAAGGUGGUUAAUUGGUAAACAAAAACUUCCAAAAAUAUUUAAUCAUGCUCAAGUAUGAUUUCAAAGUAUAUUAUACUCUUGAAAAAUACUAAAGAAGUUGAAAAAAU